Molecule: ribosomal RNA, 383 nt
Filed under: Salmonella enterica
Lineage: Bacteria; Pseudomonadati; Pseudomonadota; Gammaproteobacteria; Enterobacterales; Enterobacteriaceae
Also listed under: 4 other names
Description: partial 23S ribosomal RNA
Rfam family: Bacterial large subunit ribosomal RNA
Source: RNAcentral
AAUCCAUAGGUUAAUGAGGCGAACCGGGGGAACUGAAACAUCUAAGUACCCCGAGGAAAAGAAAUCAACCGAGAUUCCCCCAGUAGCGGCGAGCGAACGGGGAGGAGCCCAGAGCCUGAAUCAGCAUGUGUGUUAGUGGAAGCGUCUGGAAAGGCGCGCGAUACAGGGUGACAGCCCCGUACACAAAAGCGCAUGUGCUGUGAGCUCGAUGAGUAGGGCGGGACACGUGGUAUCCUGUCUGAAUAUGGGGGGACCAUCCUCCAAGGCUAAAUACUCCUGACUGACCGAUAGUGAACCAGUACCGUGAGGGAAAGGCGAAAAGAACCCCGGCGAGGGGAGUGAAAAAGAACCUGAAACCGUGUACGUACAAGCAGUGGGAGCAC